RNAcentral lists this transfer RNA (77 nucleotides) under Corynebacterium auriscanis. Its description in RNAcentral is "tRNA-Arg". It matches the Rfam family "tRNA". Rfam says of the family: Transfer RNA (tRNA) molecules are approximately 80 nucleotides in length. The record is from RNAcentral. RNAcentral also lists the same sequence under 4 other names. Lineage: Bacteria; Bacillati; Actinomycetota; Actinomycetes; Mycobacteriales; Corynebacteriaceae.
GCCUCCGUAGCUCAGCGGAUUAGAGCAGAGGGUUUCUACCCCUUGUGUCGCGGGUUCGAGUCCUGCCGGGGGCACCA